UUUCCGUAGGUGAACCUGCGGAAGGAUCACUAAAGAGAACUUGCCCUUCGGGGUAGAUCUCCCACCCUUUGUUUAUUAUACUUUGUUGCUUUGGCGGGCCUGCCUCACGGCUGCCGGCGUAAGCUGGCUCGCGCCCGCCAGAGACCCCUAAACUCUGAAUAUUGUCGUCUGAGUAAUAUAUAUAAUAAGUUAAAACUUUCAACAACAGAUCUCUUGGUUCUG
This 222-nucleotide unclassified non-coding RNA is filed under the name plant metagenome. RNAcentral describes it as "partial contains small subunit ribosomal RNA, internal transcribed spacer 1, and 5.8S ribosomal RNA". The record is from RNAcentral.